AAAGUGUUUCUAGAAUGAA
RNAcentral lists this ribosomal RNA (19 nucleotides) under Wagimo signatus. RNAcentral describes it as "partial 12S ribosomal RNA". The record is from RNAcentral. Lineage: Eukaryota; Metazoa; Arthropoda; Insecta; Lepidoptera; Lycaenidae. RNAcentral also lists the same sequence under 34 other names.